RNAcentral lists this ribosomal RNA (497 nucleotides) under uncultured bacterium. RNAcentral describes it as "partial 16S ribosomal RNA". It matches the Rfam family "Bacterial small subunit ribosomal RNA", at positions 28 to 507 of the family's 1533-position model. The record is from RNAcentral.
GAUGAACGCUGGCGGCGUGCCUAAUACAUGCAAGUCGAGCGAACAGACGAGGAGCUUGCUCCUCUGACGUUAGCGGCGGACGGGUGAGUAACACGUGGAUAACCUACCUAUAAGACUGGGAUAACUUCGGGAAACCGGAGCUAAUACCGGAUAAUAUAUUGAACCGCAUGGUUCAAUAGUGAAAGACGGUUUUGCUGUCACUUAUAGAUGGAUCCGCGCCGCAUUAGCUAGUUGGUAAGGUAACGGCUUACCAAGGCAACGAUGCGUAGCCGACCUGAGAGGGUGAUCGGCCACUCUGGAACUGAGACACGGUCCAGACUCCUACGGGAGGCAGCAGUAGGGAAUCUUCCGCAAUGGGCGAAAGCCGGACGGAGCAACGCCGCGUGAGUGAUGAAGGUCUUCGGAUCGUAAAACUCUGUUAGUAGGGAAGAACAAAUGUGUAAGUAACUAUGCACGUCUUGACGGUACCUAAUCAGAAAGCCACGGCUAACUACGUG